Molecule: transfer RNA, 73 nt
Filed under: Paramuricea clavata
Lineage: Eukaryota; Metazoa; Cnidaria; Anthozoa; Malacalcyonacea; Plexauridae
Rfam family: tRNA
About the family: Transfer RNA (tRNA) molecules are approximately 80 nucleotides in length.
Source: Rfam by way of RNAcentral
GACCGCGUAGUUCAGUUGGCAGAGCAUUGGGCUAGCAUUCCAAAGGUCGUAGGUUCAAUUCCCACCGUGGCCA